This 423-nucleotide ribosomal RNA is filed under the name Aquarius adelaidis. RNAcentral's name for it is "partial 16S ribosomal RNA". Lineage: Eukaryota; Metazoa; Arthropoda; Insecta; Hemiptera; Gerridae. The record is from RNAcentral.
GAUAGGGACUCUCCGAAAAAAUUACGCUGUUAUCCCUGAGGUAAGUUAAUCUUAUAAUCAAAAAUUCUGGAUCAAAAAAAACAUAAAUUAAUGAAAAAAAUAUUAAAAGUUAAAUAAAUUUUAAUGUCACCCCAACAAAACUUUAUAUUCUAAAAAAUUGUAUAAUAAACAAAAAACAAUAAUUAAUAAAUAAAGUAAACUUCUACAGGGUCUUCUCGUCCUAUAGGAAAAUUUUAGCUUUUUAACUAAAAAAUUAAAUUCAAAAUAAUUAAAAAAAGAAAGACUAUUUUUCAUUAGACCAUUCAUUCUAGCCUUCAAUUAAAAGACAAAUGAUUAUGCUACCUUCGUACAGUUAAAAUACCGCAGCCUUUUAAUUAGAUAAAUCAAUGGGCAGGCCUGAUCUUAAAUUAAAAUCAAAAGACC